This is a long non-coding RNA of Trichomycterus rosablanca, 2832 nucleotides long. RefSeq lists it as uncharacterized. The record is from RefSeq and is a predicted model, not a curated record. Lineage: Eukaryota; Metazoa; Chordata; Actinopteri; Siluriformes; Trichomycteridae. The transcript is spliced from 3 exons.
UUUAUUCUGUCUCAUGUCUCUGGGCUCAGUCAGGCCACAGGACUUCAUCUACAUCACAGACAAUAUUCUCCCUACCUAGACAAUGCAAAAAAAAUCCUUUUGCAUGCAGAAUCCAAGCUUGAAAAGAAUCCACUCUAAUGUCAUCACAUGCUGCAUCCAUUGACUGGAGUAGAUUUUCCUGGGUAUGCUGAGAAAAAUUCCUCAAAUGGGUUUAGAAAGAGAGAGUAUGCUGGAAGGCUUAGAUUUAUGAAAUGGAGGUUAUUGAUAAACCCUCACAUAUGUUUUGACAACGGUGAAAGCUCACAUUGUCCCAAACGACAAUGUACACAGGAUGCUUUCCCCACUCAAGUCCAAGCAAAGCAUCUUGUAGACCAUCCAGAAAUGUUAGAUGUUCUGUGUUGUAGGGCUCUAAUGUAACAUGGUGAUGCAGAACCCCAUUGCUGUUGAUGGCCGCACAUACAUUUUCAGCAAUAAGCAGACACUUUUAUCCAAAGCAACUUACAGUAUACAGUCUAAGCAACUGAGGGUUAAGGGACUUGCUCAAACAGUGGCAACCUGGCAGUGGUGGGGUUUGAACCUGCAACCUUCUGCUUACUAGUCCAGUACCUUAACCGCUAGGCUACAUGGUCACAUUGCCACCACGAUGGACAUGCAUUUCUAUAAUUGCAUGUUGACCAGUUAUGUUGAGCCCUCUUCUCCACCUCUUUGUGAGACUAAAUCCAGCUUUGUCCAAAUAUAAACAUUCAUGGGGCCUCUCCGGGGGUUUAGUUUACAGUUUUUCUCAAUUGCUAAAACACAAUUUCUGAAACCUUGCUCCAUUUUCUUAAAACAUUAAACACAAAACCUCAUCUUCAAGCAGCAUUUACAAAACCUCUGACUCCUCUUGCAAAAUCAAACUUUCGCUUCAAAACAGAUUUACCUGUGCUCAAAACCAAACACUGCUCUCAAAUCAUAAACAAAGCCAUCAAAAUGAUAUACACUAUCAAGCAGUCAGUAAACAAUACACCAAAAAAUAGAAAACACACUGUUCAAAACAUAUAGUUCUUAGGGAGAAGUAAAUUUUUAAUCUCAAAACAAAUUUCAUAUUUUUCCGUCAUUGUCUUUUGAUGAACAAAAACAUGUUCUAUCAUAGUAGCUCAACUGCAAUUCUUGUUCUUUGUUGAUAUGAACCUGCAACUACGGUGGCCGAGAAGUGCAAAACAAAUUAACAUUUAAAAAAACAAACUUACAAAAGUAAAAACAAAAUUACAAAGGUAAAAAAAAAAUACAUUUUAGAAAACAAAAUUACCAGUGCUGAAACAAAUUUACCAAUGCCGAAACAAAUUUACAAAUGGCAGAUCUGACGGAAAGGGUAGGAACAAUACACAGGAAGUGCUUGUUGUUUACCUGCUGUCAAUCAAACUGUUUGGCGGGGAUAAAGUGAACAGAGUUGUGUCGGCAGUUGUGACUGUGAAUGCUUAGCGAUGUUUUGUCCAUUUUGUGGCAAUCAUUUUAGCCAAUUAGUCCGCUUUUGUUUUUCUUGCGGUAAAUCGUUAGAAUUUUUAGAAGAGCAGACGAAAGAAGAUGUAAUAAAUUUGUGUAUAGGAUAUUUCAAUAAAGGCCACUCCUACGAUGUUAUCGUUGACAUGAUGUCCUCUUUACAUGGUGUAAACAUUAGUUUGCGAUCUCUUAAAACUAAACUUAAACAGGCUGGACUGUACCGUAGAAAGGGCUAUUCUUCUACACACGCUGUCAGGAAUGCUAUAGGGUUGGAGCUUCGUGGACCUGGACAGCUCUUUGGCUAUUGAACAAUGUGGCAAGUACUCAUGCAAAAGUACAAUCUACGAGUAAAGAGGGAUGAUGUUAUGGUGUUACUCCAGGAGCUUAAUCCUCGAGGAUGUGAGAUGAGAGCAUGCAGAAGGUUUAUUAGAAGAACCUACCACUCAAUGGGGCCGAAUUACAUGUGGCACGCUGACGGUUACGACAAACUCAAGCCAUUCAGUUUGGCCCUUUUGGGAUGCAUAGACGAAUUUUCGCGGAAAGUACUGUGGCUUGUAUGUGGACCAACAAAUAACAAUCCCUCAGUUAUUGCUCACAAUUUCCUCACUUGUGUGCGAAACCUUGGUGCUUUCCCCAUGAGAUUGAGGACCGAUUGCGGCACGGAGAACGGCAUUAUGGCUGCAGUUCAGUGUACCCUACGGCACCAGCACACUGACUACUACUCGGGAGCGUCUAGCCAUAAGUAUGGUUCAUCCACCAACAAUCAAUGCAUUGAGUCAUGGUGGUCCACAUUCAGAAAGGGAAGGUCUCAGUUCUGGAUGGAGUUAUUUGCAGACCUCCGAGAUGCAGGAUACUUCAAUGGAAGUCAUGAACACCAAUGCUUGCUGAGAUUUUGCUUCAGUGAUGUCAUACAGAAGGACCUGGAUGAAUGUGUGACACUGUGGAACAGUCACAGGAUUCGCACUUCUAGAACUGCAUCAUGUCCUGGAGGAGUGCCCAAUGAACUGUACUACUUACCACACAGAUAAUUGAUUGGUUUGGCUCCAGAGACUGUGGAUUUAGAAUUGAACAAACAGAACUGGAUGUUUUCCCUGAAUCAAGACAGUCAGUCAAUUCAUGACCAAAACAUCCAGGAGUACUUGGACUUUGUUAUGGAGUGCAGUCAACUACAGAAGCCAAAUAACUGGGAGUCCGCAUCAGAACUAUACUUAUGGCUUAAAGAAAUUGCUCAGCUAUGAUUGUUUUAAUUACAUAAAUUACUUUGAUUAAUUAUUAUAAAGUACAUUUUUAAAUUAACUUUUGCUGUCCAUGAUUUAAGUUUUACUGGAAAAGCUCCCACAUCUGACCUCAAUU